Molecule: ribosomal RNA, 468 nt
Filed under: uncultured bacterium
Lineage: Bacteria
Description: partial 16S ribosomal RNA
Rfam family: Bacterial small subunit ribosomal RNA
Source: RNAcentral
GAUGAACGCUGGCGGCGUGCUUAACACAUGCAAGUCGAACGGUGAAGGCGGAGCUUGCUCUGCUGGAUCAGUGGCGAACGGGUGAGUAACACAUGAGCAAUCUGCCCCUGACUCUGGGAUAAGCGCUGGAAACGGCGUCUAAUACUGGAUACGAGCUGCGAAGGCAUCUUCAGCAGCUGGAAAGAACUUCGGUCAGGGAUGAGCUCGCGGCCUAUCAGCUUGUUGGUGAGGUAACGGCUCACCAAGGCGUCGACGGGUAGCCGGCCUGAGAGGGUGACCGGCCACACUGGGACUGAGACACGGCCCAGACUCCUACGGGAGGCAGCAGUGGGGAAUAUUGCACAAUGGGCGAAAGCCUGAUGCAGCAACGCCGCGUGAGGGACGACGGCCUUCGGGUUGUAAACCUCUUUUAGCAGGGAAGAAGCGAAAGUGACGGUACCUGCAGAAAAAGCGCCGGCUAACUACGUG